RNAcentral lists this transfer RNA (73 nucleotides) under Pseudomonadota bacterium. RNAcentral describes it as "tRNA-Ala". It matches the Rfam family "tRNA". From Rfam's summary of the family: Transfer RNA (tRNA) molecules are approximately 80 nucleotides in length. Their secondary structure includes four short double-helical elements and three loops (D, anti-codon, and T loops). The record is from RNAcentral. RNAcentral also lists the same sequence under 1 other name. Lineage: Bacteria; Pseudomonadati; Pseudomonadota.
GGGGCCGUAGCUCAGUUGGGAGAGCAUGAGGCUGGCAGUCUCAAGGUCGUGGGUUCAAAUCCCACCGGCUCCA